Metopolophium dirhodum (rose-grain aphid) is the source of this 1757-nucleotide long non-coding RNA. RefSeq lists it as uncharacterized. NCBI's taxonomy places the organism in Eukaryota, Metazoa, Arthropoda, Insecta, Hemiptera, Aphididae. The transcript is spliced from 10 exons. The record is from RefSeq and is a predicted model, not a curated record.
ACUCGGCUCGUUUACUUUAAUAGUUUUCUGUCAUGGGUGUCAUGGCGUCAUAGAACAUUUUGUUGUUAAACCUUAACGGCUUAUUGCUCAACGUGUUUUCUUAACUCGCUUCGAUAAUCGACGCCAGUGAAUCACGGUUCAAUAUUAUCACGUACCUACUCUAUAAAUUGUUAUUCGUGUACUCACAUUGUUAAUUGUUAUAAUAGUGCGUACUGAUGUCGGUAAUUUGGAAUUCAAUGCAUUUAAUUUUAAUAUAAUCGUUUGAUUGACAUUUACUUUUGUUUACAAUAUUCAAUAUGACGUGGUCGGUUAUUCACUUCUUUAAAGAUAAUGGAGUAGAGGUAGUACCUAGCACAUGGUUUAAAGAUGAUACAUGUGCUUGGCCUAAGACCCAUGUGAAACGUUUUAUUAAAAACCAAUGUAUACCAAAUACUAUAGAGUUCGAGUGGUUCAAAGCUAGGGCAUUGUCUACAAGUAUUUAAUCGUUUCUUAAUGCUAGAACGAAAUGCAAAAAAUAAUUGAUCACUUCGGAUUUAUCAUCUACUGAAGAUGACAAUUAUUCUAAAAUAAAAAAUACAAAUAAUGGAAAAAAAUCAAAAUCUGGUAAUAAUUGCAGUAAUAACAAAAAAACGGGAUAUGGCGCUGACAAAUCAGACAUUGAAACUGAUAGCGAUUACAAUAAUUAUGAAUUACCAGCUUAUGAUUCUGGUGAUAAUAAUUCCAGUACAAAUAACAUUAAUUCUCUGUCUAAGAAAUCUUGUGUUGAUGAUAUGCUCAUUACUCCAUCAAAAAAUAUACGAACAUUAGUCACCAUCAAAAACUCCAGUUUUUGAAUCUAUUGAUGAUAAUUUCUGCAUGGUGAAAAAUGUGUCACCUAAUAGAAGAAAUAAACAUUUUGUACUUUCUCCUAAUAAUUUGGCAAGAGCAGAAAAAAACAAUAAGAGAAAUUUAUCGGAAUCUUCUAGAAAAGUAUAUCCAUCUCCUGAAACUUUUCAAUCACUAUUAGAAAAUAAACAAAAAACGCCUCCAAAUCCAAAUAAAUAAAAAAAUUCUUCAGAAGAUCAAUUUAAGGAACUCAUUUUAUACAAUCUUUUAGUAUUGAAACACAGCAUUAGAAACAUCAAUGAAAAAUUGACAUUGGUUGUCGAAAGGCAGAUUUCACACAAUUAUAAUGUUGAAGAAUCUAAUGAUCUUACAUUAGAAUAUUCUAAUUUGGACUGCUUAUUACCAAUUGAUGAAGAAGAUACAUUAGACAAUAUAGAAGAAAAGAUAAGAAAUACCAUGCAUCAUUGACUAAACAGUUAGCUGGACUUGGCGGAAAAAGUAUCAAAGUCAUGGUCAAAAGAAUCAUGGGAUAUUUGUUCACUGACAACAUCUUAGCCUUAUAUUCUUUUAAUGGCAGAGCAAAUAAAAAAAAAAUGUUUUGCAAAUCUAUCCAUUUCAAAAGUUAUAUUCAGUGCUGUUAAAUCAAUUAAACGAUUGAAUAAUGAAUCAUCGACCGAUGAAAUUGAAAAAUACAUUAAGUAUUAUCUCAUUCAAGCACCAUUCUACAUAAAAAAGAAAAAAGAGAUGUUUCAUUGAAUAUGAAUAUCAUUUAAUUUUGUAAUUAUUAUGUACAAUAUAAUAUAGCUAGGCUAGGUUUGCCUUUUAGUUAUAUCAUAUUUCAACUAUAUAUAUAUACUAUUAUAUUAUAUUCUAAAUAAAUGUAUAGGUACAUUAUGUUUUUACUAUUAUUAUAUUGUUAUAGGGCCUAACAA